This is a non-coding RNA of Anas platyrhynchos (mallard), 660 nucleotides long. NCBI's taxonomy places the organism in Eukaryota, Metazoa, Chordata, Aves, Anseriformes, Anatidae. The record is from RefSeq and is a predicted model, not a curated record.
UCGUCUCCUUGUUCCUUGUGUAUUCCCCUUUCUGUCUGAACCGAGCUGUUGUGUCUCGUCUAAUACUUAGGUAGCAAGUUCUGUAAAAAAAAAAUAAUUCAAAAACCAUCACUUUGCUUUGUAUUUUAGGUGACUCCUGACCAUGAAGUUCUGGUUCACAACCCGGACUGCUCUGCUAGCGUUAUGGUCACUGUGCCCACUGAAAUUAAUGCUGUUAUUCCACGUAUUCAUAGUGUUAGUGAGAAGCAGGCAGAUAAAAGCGGAUGGAAAGCUGGCUGACGUGUGCAGUAGGUACUUGUGGCUUGAAAAGAAAUACCUUAAAACGUGCCCCAUGAAUUAAUUGGCUUUUGCUAUAUAGAAAGGAGGCAAGUCUCUAACGUGGUAAUUUAAAUCUUUAACAAAAUACCAGUUAAAAAAAUCUUUGAAUGAUGGCUCAUGGGAGGAAAAUAAGGAAGGCUCUAAGAUAACUGCUUUUGAAAUGUAGGAAAACAUAAUACUGAGUUCCUGAUGUAUUAAACUGCAGGAGGCUACAGGGCGUGCUUCAUCUACUCAGUAGGAGAUUCAAUGCCAGUGUCACUGGAGAGUAAUCGUCAGGAGAAUUGAACUGGAUGCGUGGCGAGGAGUCAAGAAAAUAGUAAGAGACCAGUUCUUGUCCUUUUA